Molecule: ribosomal RNA, 731 nt
Filed under: uncultured bacterium
Lineage: Bacteria
Description: bacterial SSU rRNA
Rfam family: Bacterial small subunit ribosomal RNA
Source: RNAcentral
AACAGGAUUAGAUACCCUGGUAGUCCAUGCCGUAAACGAUGAGUGCUAGGUGUUGGAGGGUUUCCGCCCUUCAGUGCCGCAGCUAACGCAUUAAGCACUUCGCCUGGGGAGUACGACCGCAAGGUUGAAACUCAAAGGAAUUGACGGGGGCCCGCACAAGCGGUGGAGCAUGUGGUUUAAUUCGAAGCUACGCGAAGAACCUUACCAGGUCUUGACAUCUUGCGCUAACCUAAGAGAUUAGGCGUUCCCUUCGGGGACGCAAUGACAGGUGGUGCAUGGUCGUCGUCAGCUCGUGUCGUGAGAUGUUGGGUUAAGUCCCGCAACGAGCGCAACCCUUGUUACUAGUUGCCAGCAUUUAGUUGGGCACUCUAGUGAGACUGCCGGUGACAAACCGGAGGAAGGUGGGGACGACGUCAGAUCAUCAUGCCCCUUAUGACCUGGGCUACACACGUGCUACAAUGGCCGGUACAACGAGCAGCUAACCCGCGAGGGUGUGCAAAUCUCUUAAAGCCGGUCUCAGUUCGGACUGCGGUCUGCAACUCGACUGCACGAAGUCGGAAUCGCUAGUAAUCGCGGAUCAGCAUGCCGCGGUGAAUACGUUCCCGGGCCUUGUACACACCGCCCGUCACACCAUGGAAGUUUGCAAUGCCCAAAGUCAGUGGCCUAACCAUUUUGGAGGGAGCUGCCUAAGGCAGGGCAGAUGACUGGGGUGAAGUCGUAACAAGGUAACC